GACGAACCGUGCGAACGUUGUUCGGAAUCACUGGGCUUAAAGGGCGCGUAGGCGGCUCGCGAGGUCGGGGGUGAAAUCCUACGGCUUAACCGUAGAAGUGCCUUCGAUACCGGCGGGCUGGAGGAAGGUAGGGGUGCGCGGAACUUCUGGUGGAGCGGUGAAAUGCGUUGAUAUCAGAAGGAACGCCGGCGGCGAAAGCGGCGCACUGGACCUUUUCUGACGCUGAGGCGCGAAAGCCAGGGGAG
RNAcentral lists this ribosomal RNA (245 nucleotides) under uncultured bacterium. Its description in RNAcentral is "partial 16S ribosomal RNA". It matches the Rfam family "Bacterial small subunit ribosomal RNA", at positions 524 to 768 of the family's 1533-position model. The record is from RNAcentral.